CCUCUCUCUAGGUUGUGAGUGUGAGUGUGAGUGUGUGUGUGUGUGUGUGUGUGUGUGUGUGCGUGUGUGUGUCUUUUUCUUGUUGUGGUGGAGGCGUCGAGCCAUAUGGGGGAGUGAUAGAGGAAUUUUAGUCAGAAACUGUUCGUUAUGUUACACUGGCUUUUCCCUUUGUGUUGUCUUUGAUCUAUUUGCUUGGCUUAGUAUUACAAAAAAAAAAAAAAAACCAAGAAAAAAAACCCCAACUAAAAUAAUAUAUUCCGAGCAGCUUCCCAAGGAUCCGUUUCUUGUUAUCUUUUUUUAAAGUCUCUCCCCCUCCACCACCACCCUUUACUCUUGUGUCUGUCAUUAUUUAAGGUGGUCCUCACAGAGGAGACCUCCCCUUCCCCUCAUCUCUGGGUAAUUUAGUAGACAUUAAAAUUACACGUAAUGUUUCCCUCUCCUCUCUUGUGUUUCCUCUGUUCUUUUUAUUAAAUGUUGGUUAUUGAUUUUCUAAAAUCAAUGUCUGUUGUGGGGCUUUUUUCCCCUUACAAGUAUCUAAAGCACGUUGCUGAUCAACUGGAUAACAAAAGCUUUGUGUCAAGUAGCCUUUUUUCUUAUGUUAAACAGUCAUUUUUGAGAGAAAAAGAGAAUGAGAUUUAAAGCAACGCAUCCAGAAGUGCUCUUUUGCAGUAAAGAAUAUUCUUAGUGUUUGAGGGGGUUUUAUUCUUCUUCCUCAGCCUCCUUGCUUUUCCAGGCAGGACUAUUAGUUUAGCGUGUUAAACCCAUCACAUGCUCUCUGAUGAGGGAUGCAUCUACGUGUUUAAUAUUUUCUCAGCGUGAUUUGAGCACUAAAAAAAACCCCACCACCACCACCACCCUUACCCCCCCCAAAAAAAAAAAAAAAUUUCCUGGAUGCCUCUGUUUGCCCAGGACACCAGGACCGUAUCCUGGUAGUGCAGCCAAGUCUUUGGGAGCACGUAUGGAGCGGGGUGGCAGAUUCUGGUUGUUUCCAUGCAUAAAGGUGUUUUCAGGGAGCUGCACUAACUUGGAAAAGCCACCACACUUGGGAGACGAAAGUUUAAUUGCGAUUUUUAAGGAUUUAUCUGGACUGAGUGGAUUUUUCUUCUUUCCUGGAAUCGUGGAAAAGAUGUUACUUCUGAGCUUGUGUCUUUGCUGAUAACACCAGGAACGGUGAUGCUUAUCGAACUCGGACAGAAAUUCCUUAGAAACGCAGCAGAACCAAAAUAAAAUUUAAAAGCCACGAAAAAGGAAAUAAAAA
RNAcentral lists this long non-coding RNA (1258 nucleotides) under Zonotrichia albicollis (white-throated sparrow). Its description in RNAcentral is "lncRNA (ENSZALG00000012031.1)". The record is from RNAcentral. Lineage: Eukaryota; Metazoa; Chordata; Aves; Passeriformes; Passerellidae.